AACGAACGCUGGCGGCAGGCCUAACACAUGCAAGUCGAGCGCGCCCUUCGGGGUGAGCGGCGGACGGGUGAGUAACGCGUGGGAACGUGCCCUUUUCUACGGAAUAGCCUCGGGAAACUGAGAGUAAUACCGUAUACGCCCUUUGGGGGAAAGAUUUAUCGGAAAAGGAUCGGCCCACGUUGGAUUAGGUAGUUGGUGGGGUAAUGGCCUACCAAGCCGACGAUCCAUAGCUGGUUUGAGAGGAUGAUCAGCCACACUGGGACUGAGACACGGCCCAGACUCCUACGGGAGGCAGCAGUGGGGAAUCUUAGACAAUGGGGGCAACCCUGAUCUAGCCAUGCCGCGUGAGUGAUGAAGGCCUUAGGGUUGUAAAGCUCUUUCAGCUGGGAAGAUAAUGACGGUACCAGCAGAAGAAGCCCCGGCUAACUCCGUG
RNAcentral lists this ribosomal RNA (433 nucleotides) under uncultured bacterium. RNAcentral describes it as "partial 16S ribosomal RNA". It matches the Rfam family "Bacterial small subunit ribosomal RNA", at positions 29 to 507 of the family's 1533-position model. The record is from RNAcentral.